AGUCCUCCAUUGCAUCCGUCAAAGCUACUGGGUUAACUGCAUCUUUGACUCCUUCCAGUCUCCUCAAGUGCACACGCUCUCCAGUCUCAGGCCUAGAGCCAUCACCUUUGUCAGGAUCGAAUCAUGCAUCCUGGUAGGUCAGCUAUGAUUACCUCAACAAGUCUGCUUUUUGUCCAGACCCUGCAAUUCUGUUCCCCCCAGGAGCAAUGAUAGUGGUAACCAGUGACCAGAUAACUUUCUUAAAGCAAAGUAUUAUUUAUCUGAGACAGAAACUUUCAGAGAAAUCAGAUUUUAAAACAAUAAAAUAGGCUAUAUGCAUGUUUAGUUUACCAAAGGCCCACAUGGGAAUCUUGGUAGUUUAAGCUUCCUAUAGACCCUCUGCCCCCCCAAAGAUAGCUGGGGUCUAGGUCACACUCUCUUUCCUUAACUCACAAAUCAGUUCACUCUCCUUGCUUCAGGGAGAGUCUUCUUUAAAAGGUGCUUAGUCCUUUUGAUCACCCUCCUUUCCAGAGAACAAGUCACUUUUUAACACUUUAUAGCCCUUUGAUCUGUUGGGUCCCAGCACUGCCAAAACAGGGCUUGUCACUCAGUUAGGGACAGGAUAUAAGGUCUUCAGAGGUAAUAUUUUCCCCAUUGUCUUUCAUAUGUGUGCCUGGGACUACUGUGUUGCUUUCUUGAUUGCUUUUCCAACAGCCCUGUCAAGAUCGAUCAAUACAUGCAUACAGGAAAGAUUUUUAACCCAGUAUGCUAUAACUUCACCUUACUGACCAGGUCACAGAGUGUUCAUAAAACGAUUACAUAUCAUUAUUCUUAGAUUGCUACAAGCAGCUCCUCAUUCAUUACAGCAGGUAUGUUUGCUAUUUAUUACUGUUUCUCUGGUAUCCAAGGUACUGGCAUGUUAGCACAUCUCUCUUUUUUUCUGCAACACAGCAAGUGGGUUUUACUUGGCCAUACCUGGCAUGGUCAGCAGCAGUUCAAUAGCUCUACAAACUUGCCUCCUCUUAGGUUUAGUGAUAGCUAUUCCCAUCCGAUUGCGAGAUCCAGCUCUCUAUUAUGCUUCAAUAUGGACUUUGCGGUUGAUAUUUCACUACUGAUUGAUCAUCAGUAGCAAAUGAGCUCUGCUCACACAGGUGCAUCCCAGUUUUUACAUUACUGAAUGAUUUUAUAACUUUUCAGAAUACCCUGAAGUUGUAAAAAUGCAAUUAUAAAACAAAUACAUCUAAUUCAAAAUAAAAACAUUAACAACAUUAUGGAACUGUGCA
Molecule: long non-coding RNA, 1262 nt
Filed under: Gopherus agassizii (Agassiz's desert tortoise)
Lineage: Eukaryota; Metazoa; Chordata; Testudines; Testudinidae
Description: lncRNA (ENSGAGG00000002806.1)
Source: RNAcentral